UGAGCAAUCUGCCCUUCACAUCGGAAUAACCAUUGGAAACGAUGGCUAAUACCGAAUAUGACUUCGGAUCGCAUGAUCUGAAGUGGAAAGCUCCGGCGGUGAAGGAUGAGCUCGCGGCCUAUCAGCUAGUUGGUGUGGGUAAUGGCCCACCAAGGCGACGACGGGUAGCCGGCCUGAGAGGGCGACCGGCCACACUGGGACUGAGACACGGCCCAGAUCCCGUACGGGG
Molecule: ribosomal RNA, 229 nt
Filed under: uncultured bacterium
Lineage: Bacteria
Description: partial 16S ribosomal RNA
Rfam family: Bacterial small subunit ribosomal RNA
Source: RNAcentral